ACGGCGGAGCCCCGCAGGCCAGAGCCCGGCGCCGGGGGGCCCGCCCCAGCCCGGCCCCGCCGUGGGGCGGCGCGGCACGGCGCGGCGCGGAGGGCGCACAUGUCCCCGGUCCGCCCGCCCGCCCGGCAGGCACCGCCCCCGCCUCCUCCCCCUCCGCUUCCCCCUGCCGGACACCGAGCGGCGCGGCGGGGCCUCCCCGGCUGCCGCCACGGCGCUCGGCUCCCGCCGCCCACCGGCGGGCAGCGCUGCCGCCUCAGCGGCCGCCAGGAAGCGGCCGGGCCGCCGCGCAUCCGCCUGCCGCUGGGCAUGAGCUCCGGCUCCCCCGGCGGCCACAGCGGUGCCAGUGGCGGCGGCGGCGGGCGGCGGCGGAGGCGGCGGAGGAGGCGAGGGGGGGCCCCGGGAGCGGCGACCUUCGCAGGGGGCUGCCGCGGCGGGAGAUGCUCUUGCUCCCAGCGGCGCCAGGAGCAGCAUGUUCCCCGGUGCCGACAGCGCUAGCAGCACGGCCGGGCAGCCCGAGGCGGCGGGGGCCGCCGCCCCGGGCCCCCCGGGCUCGCACGGCCCCGGCGGCGAGGCCGGCCGCCGCAGCGCCCCGGCGGCCGCCGCUGUGGCCGGCGGCGGCGGCGAGGAGGGGGCGGCGGCGGAAGACGAGGAGGACGAAGAUCCCGGCUCGUCCCGCUUCGUGCUGGCGGCGGGGCUGGGGCUGCUGGCCGUGUCCGUCGUCCACCUGGGGCAGGAGCGGGCCGAGGCGGGGGGCGGCGGGCCGCCGUGCCUGGCCCUGCUGCUGCUCCGCCUCGCCCUCUACGGGGGCUGCGCCGCCGCCGCCGCCGCGCUGGGCACCCUGAUCGUCCUGAUGGGUCGCGGCCGCCGCCGCCUGCCGCCGCCGGACUUCGCCGCCGCAGCUCCGGUCCUGCGGGCCGCGGGGUGUAAUUGGUCUGGAAGCUCCUAUGAUUCAGUCCAAUCAAGGAGAGUGGUCAUUUCUCACAACAUGGAUAAAGCACUGAAAGAAGAUCAUUCAGUUGGAUGCAUGAGUCCAUCCUUACUCAGUAAGGCUGAAAGUAAGUUACCAAUAUUUAAGUGAUUCAUUUUUCAGAGUUGAGAAACUUCUGUUGUGACAGCUUACUUGCCUUUCUGCUAUUUCUUUUCAGAGUAGCUUUUACCCUCCAUUCUCACUCUGAAUUUUGGAGAGCAAACUUGUCAGAUGUGGUUGUAUUUGUUCCAGGCCUAAGUGACUAAUGAAGCCAACUUCUCUUCUGUUACACAGUUUGACAAGGAUGCGACUGUACUUUUCACUCUACCACACAUAGACUUAAGCAAGCUUUUUGGUUUUGGAAGGUGCCCGAGUCAACUGGAGUUUGAGAUACUGAAUGAAUCCCAAAAAGAAACAUUUUACUUUUUUAUUAAGUAAAAUAAGUCUGUCUGAAAAUAGACAGGACACAUUCCUUGCCCUGUGACAGUUCCGAAACUUG
Molecule: long non-coding RNA, 1466 nt
Filed under: Accipiter nisus (Eurasian sparrowhawk)
Lineage: Eukaryota; Metazoa; Chordata; Aves; Accipitriformes; Accipitridae
Description: lncRNA (ENSANIG00000012858.1)
Source: RNAcentral